ACAUCAAACUCAGAUGUUGAGCGUGAAGGAUAACGUUGCGUCAGCAACGGCCCGAAGGGCGAGGCGAAGCCGAGUCAUCCUGCACAACCCACCA
This 94-nucleotide small RNA is filed under the name Salmonella enterica. Its description in RNAcentral is "partial RtT sRNA". It matches the Rfam family "RtT RNA", at positions 46 to 130 of the family's 130-position model. Rfam says of the family: This family represents a bacterial cis-regulatory element known as RtT RNA. The exact function of RtT is unknown although it is thought that it may be involved in changing the cellular response in relation to amino acid starvation. The record is from RNAcentral. RNAcentral also lists the same sequence under 1 other name. Lineage: Bacteria; Pseudomonadati; Pseudomonadota; Gammaproteobacteria; Enterobacterales; Enterobacteriaceae.